Molecule: ribosomal RNA, 450 nt
Filed under: uncultured bacterium
Lineage: Bacteria
Description: partial 16S ribosomal RNA
Rfam family: Bacterial small subunit ribosomal RNA
Source: RNAcentral
GUGGGGAAUCUUCCACAAUGGACGAAAGUCUGAUGGAGCAACGCCGCGUGAGUGAAGAAGGGUUUCGGCUCGUAAAGCUCUGUUGUCGGGGACGAAUGUGCAGUAUUUGAAUAAAGUAGUGCAAUGACGGUACCUGACGAGGAAGCCACGGCUAACUACGUGCCAGCAGCCGCGGUAAUACGUAGGUGGCAAGCGUUGUCCGGAAUUAUUGGGCGUAAAGGGAGCGCAGGCGGGAAGGUAAGUCGGUCUUAAAAGUGCGGGGCUCAACCCCGUGAUGGGAUCGAAACUAUCUUUCUUGAGUGCAGGAGAGGAAAGUGGAAUUCCUAGUGUAGCGGUGAAAUGCGUAGGUAUUAGGAGGAACACCAGUGGCGAAGGCGACUUUCUGGACUGUAACUGACGCUGAGGCUCGAAAGCCAGGGUAGCGAACGGGAUUAGAUACCCCUGUAGUCC